GAUUGAACGCUGGCGGCAGGCCUAACACAUGCAAGUCGAACGGUAACAGGAAACAGCUUGCUGUUUCGCUGACGAGUGGCGGACGGGUGAGUAAUGUCUGGGAAACUGCCUGAUGGAGGGGGAUAACUACUGGAAACGGUAGCUAAUACCGCAUAACGUCGCAAGACCAAAGAGGGGGACCUUCGGGCCUCUUGCCAUCGGAUGUGCCCAGAUGGGAUUAGCUUGUUGGUGGGGUAACGGCUCACCAAGGCGACGAUCCCUAGCUGGUCUGAGAGGAUGACCAGCCACACUGGAACUGAGACACGGUCCAGACUCCUACGGGAGGCAGCAGUGGGGAAUAUUGCACAAUGGGCGCAAGCCUGAUGCAGCCAUGCCGCGUGUAUGAAGAAGGCCUGGUUGUAAGUACUUUCUAGCGGGGAGGGAAGGGAGGUAAAGUUAAU
RNAcentral lists this ribosomal RNA (440 nucleotides) under Escherichia coli MS 107-1. RNAcentral describes it as "bacterial SSU rRNA". It matches the Rfam family "Bacterial small subunit ribosomal RNA", at positions 27 to 465 of the family's 1533-position model. The record is from RNAcentral. Lineage: Bacteria; Pseudomonadati; Pseudomonadota; Gammaproteobacteria; Enterobacterales; Enterobacteriaceae.